This 301-nucleotide ribosomal RNA is filed under the name uncultured bacterium. Its description in RNAcentral is "partial 16S ribosomal RNA". It matches the Rfam family "Bacterial small subunit ribosomal RNA", at positions 509 to 807 of the family's 1533-position model. The record is from RNAcentral.
CAGCAGCCACGGGAAAACGGAGGGUGCUAGCGUUGUUCGGAAUCACUGGGCGUAAAGGGCGCGUAGGCGGCCUGUUAAGUCGGAUGUGAAAGCCCGGGGCUCAACCCCGGAACUGCAUCCGAGACUGGCAGGCUUGAGACCGGGAGAGGAGGGUGGAAUAUCCAGUGUAGAGGUGAAAUUCGUAGAUAUUGGAUGGAACACCAGUGGCGAAGGCGGCUAACUGGUCCAUAACUGACGCUGAGGUGCGAAAGCGUGGGGAGCAAACAGGAUUAGAUACCCCAGUAGUCCCUGUCUCUUAUAC